RNAcentral lists this long non-coding RNA (5542 nucleotides) under Olea europaea (common olive). RNAcentral's name for it is "long non-coding RNA (OEUR_LNC012536)". Lineage: Eukaryota; Viridiplantae; Streptophyta; Magnoliopsida; Lamiales; Oleaceae. The record is from RNAcentral.
CUCUUGGAGAAACAGAAGAUAUUCUACAAAUUCUUCAGCACCAUGAGAUGUCAAACUUGGAUCCUGAUAAAACAGCUUACAUUGAUGAGUGGUGUACUUUUAUCGAGGAAUAUAAAGGGAAUUUUCUGGCCUCAAUAAUGAGUAUUGGAAGUGAAACUCAACAAUCCAACGAAGAACGUGUAGCUAUUGUACUUCAUGGCUGAGUGCGAGAACACAAGCAAGCAGGCAAGAAAGUUACUUCUUGAUUAUUAGCACACUCAUGGACUCAAUAUUAAUCUUAUCAGUCUCAGUUAGACCCUAACUUGUUUCUUUCCAAUUGAUGGUUGUAUCUUUUUCCUAUGUGUGUGCUUCUUAGAAAUGAAAGAGUACUCUUUUGUAUUUCGUACAUGACACAAAUAAUAUCUGGAUCGGCCUGCUGACAUGAACAUAGGUUGGUAAGAUUAUAUAAAUGAUCAAGAUAGAAGAUGAAAGAAAAAUAAAAUAACUAUAUGAUAUAAACCGAACUAAUAAAUUUCUUUAGAUGACAUUUGUUGCCACUAUAUUAAAAUAAAUAAACACAAAUCUUAUAAAAAUAUAGGACAAAUUAUAUUACCACACAAAAAAUUGAAGAUUAUUCUUUGUCAUCAAAUUUGAAUGUUUCAUUGAAAAUGUUGAUUAUAAUUAUCUGAUAGAAAUAAACUAAAUGUUAAGGGGUUAUAAACUAAAAAAUGUGAGGACAAAAUGGGAAACUAAAUGUUUACCACAUAUUCCUACGCUUUAAUAUUGUAGAUAAGGUAAGUAUCAAUGAAUAGUUAGAAAUGCUCCAAAUGAGUUUUGUCCAAGCUCACCCUUCUCAAGCCAAAUGCAUGUCAAUGCAAUGUAGGUUACAGGGCACGAAUAGGCAUUGUUGAUACACAAGUAUUUUGUAGUUUACGAGCUUGAAAUACUUGAUGAAGAUUGCUAGUCAAUAAUCAUGAUCGAGUAGUAUAAUUGAGAUCUAAUAUAAUUAAUCAUGUCAUGAUAUAAUAAUGCUAAUCGUUUGAAAUUUGGAAAUGAAAACAUAGCCAGUCGCCAAUUUUUAUAGCAUUAUUUCAUUUUAGUCACGAAACUUUUUUUGUUCCUAGUUUGUCAUUAAUUCAGUAGAAUUAAAAUUUAGAUUUUAAUCUAUGUCAAACUCAAUAACUAAAUUUAACCACACAUUUUUUGGGAUCCAUGGUUUUUCAACCGCAUAUAUUAUAAAAAUUUUAUCAAAAUUUACUAAAAAUGAUCUUAAUUCCCAUCAAACAGGGGAUAAAUUUUAAUUCUUUAUAUAAGUUAAGUUUUGUCUCCCGACUAAUAGAAAAGCGUCUUCUUGGAUGUUAUUCUUUCUUUUUACAUUUUCCUUUUAUUUUUUUAUUCCUUUAUAAAAUGCCAAUUUUAUUCUAUAGCACAACAUAGAAAUCAAUUGGGUAACUAGAGAUAAGGUAGAAUAUAGGACAAAAAUAAGUGUAAAGAUACCACGCACAUAAUGCUUUAGUGUAAAUUUAUUCACUAAACUCACAAGAAAAUUUAAUUAGAUUACUAAAUUUUAAUUUAUCUCAAUUGAUCAUUGAACGUCAAUUUAGUUUCAACAAAAUUACUAAAAUGCAAUUUUGUUUCAAUUUUCAUGACUUGGUCACGUGUCAUGUCUCUAAAUUGAUGAAAAUUGAUAAUUGGUAGCGUUAUCGCAAUAUAUCUAUCAACUAAUCAUCACAUAGCAUGCUAACUAACCAUAAUGUCACGUCAUAAAGUGUCAAAAAUACACACAUGUACACGACUUUAAAAUUUCUUAAACUAAAAACAUUGUCAUAACGUUUGUUCUACCAUAGCACUAAAUUUUGCUAGCAACAUUUCUUUAAGAACCCAAUAGAUCAUAUACAUAGCAAUACAUGAACAUCUAUGGCUCGAAACAUUAAGAGGAAUUCGAAUAAAGGGGUACUCAACUCUAUGGUCCAUAGAUUUGGAUGGAAUGUACAUAGUGAUAAAAACGGGGUGGGGCGGAGCUAGGAUUUUGGUUCAGUGCGGGCAAAAUUUUUUCGAUACCAGACAUCGAGGUUUUGGUCAUGGAUUUAAUAAUGAUAAAGAAAUAAAACAAUAUUAUGACAAUACUAAAAAACAAAAUGCUAAUUUCAUAUGUUAAAAAAAAUAUUAUUACAAUUUACACAAAUCGAAAUAACAAAAAAUAAGGGAAAAGAUUCAAUUGAAUGAAUGAAAGUGGCGAAGUCUGAAGGGACAAAGUCACAGACUCACAAUUCACAAAGGGUUGAAAUAAAUGAAUAGGUGCGGGUCAAUUGAUUCAAUUGAAUUUUGAGGGGAAUGGAUCUAAAAUGGGUCAUGGGCAUUGGGCUUCUCUCUCUUGGCUGGACAGUGGACAGGGAAGUGACUUAAACAAACAAAAAGAAAUUUACUUGGGCCUGUGGAGCUGGGUCCAAAAGCACUGUACAUAAUUGGGCUCCGUCCCUGGGGCGAAGAUAGAACAACCAUUACCAUUCUUGGCCCAUCAAGGACUUUCAGAAGGUGGGACAGCAAAUAAAAAAUCCUUAGUUACCAUCUCAUUUAAUUAAUAUUUUUUAAUAUUACUUUUUACUUUUUAAAUAUAUUAAUACAAAAAUAAAGUAAAAAGAUUCGACUUUAGUUUGAAAAAUUCAACGGAAGGACCAUGCUCUAUUCCCAUCAAGUUUACUAUUCGUGACGGGGCAAUGCAAAGGUAGGUUGGAGUAGGAAAUUUUGUAAUCCUUAAACGUGUGGGACGCGAAUGACAAUAACUACAGCUUACAAUACUAAAUGAUAUACGAUACGAAGAAACCUUUCAUUUACAGGGUGCCAUGAAGUGAUAUUGUGAAAAUUCUUCGACUAUAUUUCACGCAUUUGACCUCCAAUUGCGUUAAAUUGACUCCUAACAAACUUCAGUUAUCGUUUCGUGGUCCGAAUCAGUUAUUAGAUAUUUGCAAUAUGAUUUCGAACUUUGAAUUUCUUUUUUUAUUGCCCAUUUCGUUCAUUCUUCCAAUUCCACCAAUUUACCUUGAGUUUUACCUAACAAACAAAAUUAACAUCUAAUUAAGUUAUAGUUCAUCAAAAUUUAUUACAAUUAAUCUCAUUUAAUGACCAUAUAUCAGGCACAAGAGAAUGUUGGCCAGAAAUCUCAUUUAAUGAACUGCCAUGUAUAGCAAUUAUAUUAUUGUCUUUGUAAAGGAAUUUAUUGAAAUUUUUUCAUAUCAAAAGAACUAUCAUUAUUGAGUUAGUGGAAACUAUGGGUGUAAAUUUGGCUCGUCAGUUCGAGUAGCAGAUCCAAGCAUAAAGAUAUCGUAAGCUCUUAAAUUGAUUUGUUCAAGAAAAAUUGUACACGAAAUAUUUUUUUUGUACAAUUUUAACUCAACUUAAUUUGAUUGUAGCCAGUCCCAAGCCUCAAAAAAGGAGAAUUGCAACUUUUAUUUGAUUUAUAAUUCGUAUAAAUUGUACAAAAAUUUUUAAAAAUAUUAAAAUUGUCACAAAUUCUUUUAUUUAUUUAUUUUUAUUUUUUUUAUAAAAAAGCCUAGAUUUUUUGCCUGCGUGAAAGCUCAGCUCAGCUCGAACAAAAAAUAUGCCUGAAUCAUUUUUACUUGAGCCGAGCCCAAAUUUCAAAUUUUGGCUCGAUUUGUUGACAUCUCUAGUGAAAACACAUACCAGCCUUUUAUUAAAGUCAAAACUAAAUAAGUAAAAGGACAGAAAGAAGCAGACCAUGUGAAAAGCGCUGUCUAAAUUCAAUGAAAAAAAGCUUUGAGCGUUAUAGCCCCCCUCCAAUAGGAGGCGCCAUGUGUCUUUGAGUCUGGCUCAAAAACAAGGUCAAUAGCAGAAGAUGUCAAUAUCAAGAAAAAAAAAAGGUUGAACCCCAAGCUUGAGGGUCCCACUGCCCUGCCCCUAGAGUUUUGUGAGGGAGGUAAAUGUGGGAUGUGCCCCAGCAGGCCAGGGAACAAGAGCUACCUGUACAUUGCGCCUACAAGGAGUCCAAUUCCAUGUCUUAGGAAUCGAACCCCCACACUGCGGUUGUCAGCAAGGCGUGAAAUGACCUCACUCCUGUCCUUUGCACCACUGGGCUAUGCCUCUAGGGCAGCAGAAGACGCCAAUAUCACAUAGAAAGGAAGUCUUUCAACUUGACAUUUCAAUAAGAUGGCAAUCCAUAGAAUGGAUAGGAGAAACUCUUGGGAGAGAAAUAGAAAAGAAUUUCAGAGACAAGUUCAUGGAUUCAUUUCAAUGCGGUAUGGGAUGUUACAAUCAGAGUGAAUGCAAGGAUGUAUGCGACCAAGAUGUAAUGAAAGUUUUGCGAAACAAAUUGGAUUCCCCAAUGCCAUGGAUUGGCAUGUAUAUUGCAGCAGCUUUUGUAGUCUACUCCCUUUCAAUGGCUGCUGACACUUUCCAUGGUUUUCGUAGUAAAAUGUUGUGGUUCCUAUGUAAGUACUUCUGUUUCAAUGCCAUGUCUUUGACACUAUUAGCUGUCACAUUGAAACUACCAGUCGAUCUUACUGGUUGUAUGGCGGGGGCUCUUGACAUUCUUGCAUGGGUUAGUAGCCUCGUUUUGAUGUCAACUGCAAUGGCAAGUUUUAUGACAUCUUUGGGAUCCAUGGACGGUAAUGAGAUGGUACUAAACCUAGCUGCUUUAGGUAUUAUGAUAAUUACAGUCAUUGGCAAUGUUUAUGUCCACCUUAUCACAGUGUAUUUUGAUGGUGUUCUCCUAAUAGUUUGCAAAGAAAUUAUAGCAAAGGGUUUUAUCUUUAUUUCACUUGUUAUCUUUUUUUCUUCAGCUUUGACCGUUCUAACUACCAGAAGAUACAUAGAAUGCAAGUACCAAGAAAUGCGCAAAAUGGCUUUAGAUGAAGAACAAGUGGAUGGGCAAAAAUUUCACGUUAACAAAUUGAGACUAGUGGUAAAAAAAUAUUGGGUGAUGGCAGUGACAGGAUGCCCUCAGUUUGUAAUGGCACGUAGUGUGACUUGAACUGCUUCAGGUCUGAUGUGCGUAUUAGUAACUCUCACUUUAGUAGAAGCUUAUAUUCGAAUACCAAAAGUAUACCAAGUACAUGGCUCUAGGUUCCCUACUUUAUAUGCCUAUAAGUGGUCAACAAAAUGGAUUAUAUAUGUUCAGUCAAUUGAAGUGGAAUUGGGUACUAUUGUCUCUACAUUCAGAUUGUUUACUGCUGUCGAGUUAAAUUGUUCAGAUAUAGGCAGGAAAAGCUUAAAAAACGAGUUAAAAAUCAAAAAUUAUUGGAAUCAAAGACUUAAGGAUUGGAGAGAAAGCUCUUUACCUUUCAAGUUCGACACCACAAGUGGAAAAAAUUUCUUCAUGCCGAAAGAAGAAUACUUCUGAAUUUCUGUCUUAGAGUACAGUAUAUAUUGGUUUGGACAAGCAAGCUUGUUCUUCUCAUUUCUACCUCGUUCUUCCAACACAUAAAGAAGCUAAAGAUAUUUGUUAUUGGUGCUUCUGAUGAUAGCGAAGGAUCGAAAUCUGGUAGUGAUGCACAGUUGGAUCUUACUCGUUAUGUUCUUCUACUUCAAUGAGAGCCUGGAAUUCCCA